RNAcentral lists this unclassified non-coding RNA (302 nucleotides) under plant metagenome. RNAcentral describes it as "partial contains 5.8S ribosomal RNA, internal transcribed spacer 2, and large subunit ribosomal RNA". The record is from RNAcentral.
AGUGACCCAGCCGGCGAGCAGCCCGAAGGCCGGUGCGACGAGCCAGCGCCCGGCCGUCGGGCUGCCCGAGCCAACUUCGCGCUGCGCCAGCAGGAACGCCGUAACGGCGCCGCCGGUGAUCCCCACGAACACUACCUGCGAGAGCACGAACUCGCGCGCGGGGAACAGGAACUCCCAGACCCCGUUCGAGAAGUAGGCCAAGGCGGAGAACCAGCCCACCCUCCUCAGAAGAGAGUCCUCCCGGUUAGAGGGCAGAGCCUGGUACACGGCGUAAAUCAAGGCCAGCAGGAAGAUAGGGGUCC